Molecule: long non-coding RNA, 389 nt
Filed under: Elaeis guineensis (African oil palm)
Lineage: Eukaryota; Viridiplantae; Streptophyta; Magnoliopsida; Arecales; Arecaceae
Description: long non-coding RNA (EGUI_LNC079029)
Source: RNAcentral
UCCCUGACAGGCCACAGUAACGGUCACAGCACUGCUCCACUUCCUAUGACGGAUCCCGCGCAGCUCCAUCACUCCCUGACAGGCUGCAGUAACGGUCAUAGCACUGCUCCACUUCCUAUGACGGAUCCCGCGCAGCUCCACUACUCCCUGGCAGGCCACAAUAACGGCCACGAUCCUGCUCCACUUCCUACGAUGGAUGCCGCGUGAUUCUCCCAUCCGCUGGCAAGUCGCGACAACAGAUGCCGCUCCACUCCCCGCGGCAGACUCCACGUGGCACGCCCCGGUGAUAGCCACGGGUCCACUCCACUACUCUUCGCAGUAAACUCCGCCUGACCCUGGGCAGCCCACUGCCAGACGGUUACAGAUGUCGCUAUCAGGCUACUGCCCCC